This is a long non-coding RNA of Musa acuminata AAA Group (dessert banana), 1187 nucleotides long. RefSeq lists it as uncharacterized. Lineage: Eukaryota; Viridiplantae; Streptophyta; Magnoliopsida; Zingiberales; Musaceae. The transcript has 2 exons. The record is from RefSeq and is a predicted model, not a curated record.
CGAUGGUGGGGUUGAUGGAGGGGAUGGCGCACGCCCAGCUGUAUGUCUCGCUUACGGCGCACGGGGAAGGGGAAUUGGGGAUCCAGGCGUUGAUUCUGGCAAUAGAACGACUCUAACAACAGUUUAUAUUUGCUACACAGAAUCGACAUGGAAUUUGAGGUAAUAUUCCGGAAAAUGUAAAAAAAAGAAGAGCUGUAAGGAAGACUGCCAGGCCGGGCCGAGCACAAGGCGUCUUUUGUCGGUGAGUCGUUUUACCGAACACAUCGCGGGCGUUGCAUUCCCCGUUAGCCCAUGUGGUGUUUGAUGCAAUGUGCUGUGUCUUUCCUGUUCUCUCUCUGCUCUGUUUCUUCCACUACACUAACCUGUUUGGCUACUACCUCUUACUAAACUGAAGGCUCUGUUGCUCAUCCAAGUGAUGAUAUCCUUUCUUACACAUUUAACACUCUACCAAACCCAUGUGUACAAACAGCGAUCCCAAUGAAUGCGCAUAAAACGCCAUCAUCCUCCACAUGAAGAGAACAGUCACGCCGUCCCCACGCCUUGUCCCCUUCCCAACUGCAAUCCAUUAGCUUAUGAAUACCAGGGGGCCGAGCCUACCUACCACAGCUCGUUUCUUCCGGCACAAGGGAGGACCCAUCACAUGCUUCAUACCAACCCGUCCCACGCACCAGUCUUGCAAAAUACUCUCCCUCCUUCGUCUCUACUGAGAUCGAUAAGCACUUGCACUGAAAGCGAGAGCCAUUAUACUUAUGUUGAUUACAAUACAAAGCGUGGAGGCGGUGGAGGACAUGAUGCCGAUGACAAGCCUUGCGGUCUCUGGUAGCGUACGCCACGAACGAGAAUAAUUCCAGACUGGAAGAUUGAUUGCUGUCUUCCAUCAUGGCUUUGCUUUCUCUCUCAUCGAUAUGACCGCACAGUUUCACAUGAGCAUGGGAUGUGGGGCCCGUUUCCUCUGCCAUCGCCCUUCAGCUUUCCUUUCCCCACGGGGCUUCCGGUUCAUCUUGCUGUUGUGGCUUCGCUACGAAAUCUACACAUCUAUGAAAAGCUUGUGACGUCCUAUCAUUGACGCCAUGAACGCCAAGCAGCCUGUGGAGCUUGAAAGUCGUGUAAUUUUCGAUUUGGGAACUGUUCUCGUGGUUUAAGUAGCCUCUCCGAUCAAUAAAUUUUCUCGCUUACUGUGGUGUUGA